CUAGGCUUGACAUGUACGUGGUAAGACCGUGAAAGCGGGAUGACUCGCAAGAGAGCGUACACAGAUGCUGCAUGGCUGUCGUCAGCUCGUGCCGUGAGGUGUUGGGUUAAGUCCCGCAACGAGCGCAACCCUCGCUGCCAGUUACCAUGUCUGGCGGGACCGCCGGGUCCAACCCGGAGGAAGGUGGGGAUGACGUCAAGUCAGCACGGCUCUUACGUCUAGGGCUACACACACGCUACAAUGGCCGGUACAACGCGCAGCGAUGGGGCGACCUGGAGCGAAUCGCAUCAAAGCCGGUCUCAGUUGGGAUUGCAGGCUGCAACUCGCCUGCAUGAACGCGGAGUUGCUAGUAACCGCAGGUCAGCACACUGCGGUGAAUACGUUCCC
Molecule: ribosomal RNA, 387 nt
Filed under: uncultured bacterium
Lineage: Bacteria
Description: bacterial SSU rRNA
Rfam family: Bacterial small subunit ribosomal RNA
Source: RNAcentral